AACGCGAAGAACCUUACCUGGGUUUGACAUGCACUAGACAGCUCCAGAGAUGGGGUUUCCCUUGUGGUUGGUGUACAGGUGGUGCAUGGCUGUCGUCAGCUCGUGUCGUGGGAUGUUGGGUUAAGUCCCGCAACGAGCGCAACCCUUGCCCCAUGUUGCCAGCGGGUUAUGCCGGGGACUCGUGGGGGACUGCCGGGGUCAACUCGGAGGAAGGUGGGGAUGACGUCAAGUCAUCAUGCCCCUUAUGCCCAGGGCUUCACACAUGCUACAAUGGCCGGUACAGAGGGUGGCGAUAUCGUGAGGUGGAGCGAAUCCCUUAAAGCCGGUCUCAGUUCGGAUCGGGGUCUGCAACUCGACCCAGUGAAGUCGGAGUCGCUAGUAAUCGCAGAUCAGCAUUGCUGCGGUGAAUACGUUCCCGGGCCUUGUACACACCGA
RNAcentral lists this ribosomal RNA (435 nucleotides) under uncultured bacterium. RNAcentral's name for it is "bacterial SSU rRNA". It matches the Rfam family "Bacterial small subunit ribosomal RNA", at positions 958 to 1393 of the family's 1533-position model. The record is from RNAcentral.